Molecule: non-coding RNA, 30 nt
Filed under: Rattus norvegicus (Norway rat)
Lineage: Eukaryota; Metazoa; Chordata; Mammalia; Rodentia; Muridae
Source: RNAcentral
UGAGACGAACAGUAGAAUGCACUCUAGCCC